This is a long non-coding RNA of Acinonyx jubatus (cheetah), 696 nucleotides long. RefSeq lists it as uncharacterized. The transcript is spliced from 3 exons. The record is from RefSeq and is a predicted model, not a curated record. Lineage: Eukaryota; Metazoa; Chordata; Mammalia; Carnivora; Felidae.
UCUGGGGGGAGAGGGGCCACAAUUCUACCCACUACAGAGGUUGUUUUCUUUUUUUUUGAAGUUUAUGUAUUGACUUUGAGAGAGACAAAGAGAGCGUGAGCAGGGGAGGUGCAGAGAGAGAAGGAGAGAGAGAGAGAAUCCCAAGCAGGCUCCAUGAGGGAGGAGACCCUUCUCCAUCACACUGGUUCCCACCAUCUAGAGGAGACAUGCUGGGCAGAUUCACGGCCAGUCCUCACAGCGGUGGAGAGAUACAGACAAAUUCCACACAUGACCGUGGCCUUUGUGACACGUGGACAGAUCUGGUCCUCCCUGCUGCCCUGAAGACACCGCACUCUCCCCAGCGAGGCUGCCUGAGCUCGGUGAGAAAUGGUCCCGAGGAAUCAGGAGGCUGUGGGUAUUUCCUACCGCUGGCUGCCCGUGAUUCGGACGCACCGUGCAACGGACAGGGACGGUAAUGAAAAAGAAGAAACACAAAUGAAGUGAAUGGCCGGUCGCCUCAGGCAAAUGUCCCCUGCAGUUGCUGGUACUGUGAAAAAUUAAAAAAGUCAGCAAUCAAAACUCCUCUUCCCAGAGACUCUUCCCACCAGGGCCACCGGGCCCUCCAUGCUGAGGCUUUGAAAUGAGGGACACAGUGGGACGGGCUGGCUCCUGUUCCGGCCUGGCGACAGCUUGCUCUCCGUCCCAGCUGCAGGGCUU